This 71-nucleotide transfer RNA is filed under the name Fuscoporia gilva. Its description in RNAcentral is "tRNA-Glu". It matches the Rfam family "tRNA". From Rfam's summary of the family: Transfer RNA (tRNA) molecules are approximately 80 nucleotides in length. Their secondary structure includes four short double-helical elements and three loops (D, anti-codon, and T loops). Further hydrogen bonds mediate the characteristic L-shaped molecular structure. tRNAs have two regions of fundamental functional importance: the anti-codon, which is responsible for specific mRNA codon recognition, and the 3' end, to which the tRNAs corresponding amino acid is attached (by aminoacyl-tRNA synthetases). tRNAs cope with the degeneracy of the genetic code in two manners: having more than one tRNA (with a specific anti-codon) for a particular amino acid; and 'wobble' base-pairing, i.e. permitting non-standard base-pairing at the 3rd anti-codon position. Lineage: Eukaryota; Fungi; Basidiomycota; Agaricomycetes; Hymenochaetales; Hymenochaetaceae. RNAcentral also lists the same sequence under 2 other names. The record is from RNAcentral.
GGUCUUUUAGUAUAAUGGUAGUACGGCUGCCCUUCACGCAGCAAAUGUCAGUUCAAAUCUGAUAAAGACUA